UACGGGGGGGGCAAGCGUUGUUCGGAAUUACUGGGCGUAAAGGGCUCGUAGGCGGCCAACUAAGUCAGACGUGAAAUCCCUCGGCUUAACCGGGGAACUGCAUCUGAUACUGGAUGGCUUGAGUUCGGGAGAGGGAUGUGGAAUUCCAGGUGUAGCGGUGAAAUGCGUAGAUAUCUGGAGGAACACCGGUGGCGAAAGCGGUUCACUGGCCCGACACUGACACUGAGGUGCGAAAGCUAGGGUAGCAAACGGG
This 253-nucleotide ribosomal RNA is filed under the name uncultured bacterium. RNAcentral's name for it is "partial 16S ribosomal RNA". It matches the Rfam family "Bacterial small subunit ribosomal RNA", at positions 524 to 776 of the family's 1533-position model. The record is from RNAcentral.